Molecule: long non-coding RNA, 3730 nt
Filed under: Equus caballus (horse)
Lineage: Eukaryota; Metazoa; Chordata; Mammalia; Perissodactyla; Equidae
Description: lncRNA (ENSECAG00000049751.1)
Source: RNAcentral
GGAAGAUGCCACGUUUUCAGGCCCUUCCAGAUAAAGAAGAGACCUGUGGUUAAAUAGACACACCCACCUUCAGAGGCGUGGCACAACCACCUGUUACUUCAGCCGGCCCUUCGGGGGUGGCCUCAACCUGGACACCCCCUCACAGGAGUGCUGGCAAAUUUUUCCCUCACCAGAUUUCCAGGGGUGGUUUACUGCCCUUUGGAACAGCGCUCCAGGCAACUGCCCGCAUGUCCUGGCCCUAAUCCAGCGUGCAAACGUAUUUGUCCGCAGAGAUGGGGUGUUCGCGGGGGUGAGAAUGGCACGCUGUGUGAGCCCAUCCUCCAGAGAAAGAGCACCAGUGGGGGCUGCGUGGAUCCACAGAAACAGAUGGAUGAGGAGGGGCUGGCUCGCGAGACUGUGGAGGCUGAGAAGGCCCACAGUGUGCCAUCUGCAAACCAGAGGCCCAGCAAAGUUGGCGGUGCAGCUCCAGUCCACGCCCGAGGCCUGAGAAGCAGGACACCAGUGUUUGCGGGCAGGAGAACACGGAGGUCCCAGCCCAGCGGGGAGCCAAUUCAUCCCUCCUCCACCUUUGUUCUAUUUGAGCCCCCAUGGAUUGGCGACGUCCUCCUACACUGCAGGUCCUGUGGACGUCUUCUGACCUGGGAAACCACACGGGUGGUGGUUCCUGGAGGAGAAACAGUGCUGAGGCUGAUGACGGGCAGUGCUGGCCUGCAGACCUGCGGGCCCUUCCGCCUUGCUGUGCGGUCUGCGGGGGGUCACCUCCUUCAGGAAGCCUUCCUGGAUCAGAAUGCAUCUGGGUGGAGAGCCCUUUGUCUGCAUUCGCACAGUGCCCUGCCCUUCCCUGCCCAGCCUGGACCGUGUCUGGACAUUAAUGCACCAAACUCAAGUUGUGGUUUCGUGUCUGUGUCUGGAGGCUGUGAGCUCCCUGAGGAAUCCAAGAAGGUGUGUGAGAAGGAAGCCUGGAGCUGGCAAGAGAAGGCGUGCUGGCUCUCUUCUCUCCACUCACAAGCUGCUGGAGCCGACACCUUCACCUGUGGGGAAGAAGGGAUCCCUGCCCUCCUUGGGAUGCCUAUGGUGUCCCACAGAAACGUCUGCAGGCACGUUCUCAAAGGACUGCAGUCCUUUCCAGGUUCUUUUGCUUCUAAAUCUCGGAGCCAGGGGGUGAUGAAGUCCUCGCGGGUGGAGGAGUCGGCAGAGGUCCUGCGGCUCGAGAGAAAUCCCGUCGUGCCUAGAAGCCACGUGUCCUGCCUUCGUGUCCGGAAGCCGGUCCUCCCUGUCACAGGGUUCCCAUCCUCAUCUGCUGCUGUAGAAGGAAAGAGCACGGAGAGUCACGACUGGGAGGCCUCGUGCACCAUUUCAUUUCUGCUCACAUCCUGCCGGCUGGAGCUCAGUGAUGUGGCCACACUGCCAGGGAUGCUGGGAGCAGCUGCUCUGCUUUGGACACAAAGCACUUCUGCAUCAGAAUGGACUGGAAUGUUUCAUCAAGCAAUUACACAAAGGAGUCAGACUUGUUCCAAAACGGAGGAGACAGCCGGCAAAAAUUAAUGUGCAUGUAUGCACUGUUUGCCUCCACACUUGACGUAGGAGACAUCCCCUCUUCUGAGCGGCUAGCGGUGGGGAGGAAGAGGCAGGAAGAGCUUUGCCCUAGCACAGUGAGCCCAGAGUGGGCAAGAAGCAUCUCCUCCGUCUGCCAUCUGCCCAGGAAGUGUCCUCUGGGCUCCUGGCCCAUCUUCGUGCCCUGGGAGCCUCUUACUUAAGCCCCUCUGAAGCCCUGUGUUGCUUGCCCUCCACCUCCUGAGACUGCAGUCUUCCACACGCUUGGGCAUCCAUCUCCUGAGGCUGCAGUCUUCCUCACGCUUGGGCGUCCAUCUCCUGAGGCUGUGGUUUUCCACACGCUUGGGUGUCCAUCUCCUGAGGCUGCGGUCUUCCACAUGCUGUGCGGGUGCCUAUGCGCCUUGCAGUCCGGGGGCAGCAACACUGGCUUCAUUCCUAGUGCCUGCCAGUCUGUGAGCCUUGUAAAUCCACCAAGCUGGGAGCACUCUGAUUAUACACAGACAUCUUCCCUGGUGAAAAGGGUCUUGAGUAGUCAACUUGCCACCAAGUGCCUGAUUCAUCUCCUCAAAAGAUGGUCCAAAUAUGGGGCUCACCCUUGAUUCCUGUUGCUGGAGAAAAGGAGAGUCAGGAGGGGAUCCUGAGAAGAGCCAGCAAAGUCUCGUGAGGACCUGACUCAUCUGAGGCCUCUGCGUGCUGCUAGGCAAGGGGUGUGCUCACAAUCUUCGAUCACGGGUAACAGGCCACUUCUGCAGGCCCAGCAGUGCGGGGAAGCUGGGAGUUCAAAAUUCUCAGAAGUCAGUCCAGAUCUCAAGACUCAGAGUCCCACUCCUUUUCUGGUAUGGCCUUGACCUUGAGGUAGGAGACCUGCAAGCUGAGAAUUCAACCUCCUCUGAGGCUCUGCUGCCCUUACAUGGUUAAGUCCUGAACCUGGCCCUUCGCGCUGACGGCCUUCGGCUGCAAGAGUUAAAGUUUCCGUAAACACUGCAAAGGAAAUCCUGCUUUCACAGCUUGCCUUGAGUUGUCAACUAAUUACCAUAAGUCUGAUUCAUCUUUCUUCAGUGAGUACAUCCAUGGCACUCAGUCCAGCCACCAGCUCCACAGUUGUCUUGCCUCUCCGGUGCUAGAGACGUGCCCGAGCUGGGUGGCACCUUCCAUUUGUGUCCGAACACGGUUAACUUUGGUAGACAGUUUGCAGCUGCCUUGCUCCAGCACACCAGAGACCACUCCUACCGCACUGACCGCUGGUGAUGGCAUCCACAUUGCCAACUGGCCAGACAGUAAUCACCUCCAAACUCCCAUUUUACAGUCGGCCUCCUGGGAUUUCCUGGUAUGAACUGGCUUAGAUUGGGUUCCCUGGAAACAGAUGAAGAGAUGUAGAAUUUCGUCCAGGGGUCACUGGGGAGUGCUCUUGGGAGAAAUACCUGUCAAAAAAAAAGUGAGAAAGGGAAGAUUGGUGAAGAGAAGGAGCCGCAGCAGCAGGAGCAGCUGGCCUCGAAUCCUGCGGUUUCCACUGAGGAGUCAGCCCUUCCCAUGGGGAGCCUGGAGCUUGGACGGCCUCUCAGUGUUUCCCCGGUUGAGGCCAAGGUGCUGAGGCUUUGGGUUCCCACAUCAGCCCAUCCUUGGCCCAGCUUGUCCCUUAGGAAGGGUGUAACCUUGGGAAGGCAGUACCUUGCAGCUGAGGGCAACUCCCCGUGAGGGAUGCAGCUGUGAAUUGUCAGCAGCCAGCGUUCUCAGCAGCUGGGAACUGGACGACAUCCCGAUGAGGGACUCUGAGGAGAACACCAGAGUGUCCGCUGCAGGCACCCUAAGCUCGUGCUUCCCACUGAGCAAACAGGAAGGGCUGGAGUCAGGAAAAGUGGAGGAGCAAAGACAGUGUGUUGGAGGCGGCAACAUCAAUUUCACACCUGUGUGGGUUCUCACACAUUACUCUGUUUGAUCUUGGACAAGUUAAUCAGCCUCUUUGUACCUACGCGCCUCCAUCUAUAGAAUGACAUUACUGACGAGUAAAGACCUUGAAAUGGUGCCUCGCUUAUUGUAAAUACUCAGAAAAAUGUUGUUCCUAUUGCUAUUGGUAUUGUUUUUAUUGCUAUUUUUCAGCAGUCCAAACUUAUUUUCCAGCUACAUUUCACUUCCCGUCACCCUCUAACCUGGCCCUUCGCUGCUUUUCUCCUAAAAC